Long non-coding RNA from Capra hircus (goat), 594 nucleotides. RefSeq lists it as uncharacterized. The transcript has 2 exons. Lineage: Eukaryota; Metazoa; Chordata; Mammalia; Artiodactyla; Bovidae. The record is from RefSeq and is a predicted model, not a curated record.
AUUUAGCAACUGAACAACAACAAUAAUCUGCAUAAAGUCACAAAGCUAAGUGAAGAUAAAUUGAGAAUUCAGCUCCAGAUUUCCUGAUAGAAAUCCAGAUCGAGAUCACUCAUCCCAUUUCCCACUGCCUUCCUGCCCCUUUGGGCCCUGAGGACCAGUAGUGCAAUUCUAACACUUAACUACCAGACUAAGCAUAGACCCUGUAAGUUAAGGAUGUGGUUCCCAACAAGACUGCCCCCACGUCAGACAUGAGCCACAGAUUCUGAGGUUUCCAGGUCACCUGCACUUCUGACCCACUGGCAGCAAAUUUGGGGGUUUCCAGUAUCCUAUCAGGUUUGGCAGUUCAUUAGACUCAACAGAACUCAACAAAGUGCUGUACUUACAAUCAUAGUUGUAUUAUAAAGGAAUCAAAGAAGACCAGUUAAAAAAUGGACACAUAAGAUCGGCUAGUGUCAAAGAUUUUGAGCACUACCUCUCAUGAACCAAAUGAAGCGCAUGAUUCCUGGUCACCCCUGUUAGCUGCUAGUUAAUAAUAUGUUAUAAGUAGAGGCACUACCUGCGGCUGCUUGCUGAAAUCAUAGCAGAGAGAUGAAA